GAGAGACUGAGAGACUGAGAGUGAGGGAAAGAGAGAGAGACAGUCCCAGAGAGAGAGGGAAAGCAGAAGGAGAAAGAGAGAGACCGGUUCCCGGUUCGAUCCUGUCCUCCAUUCCCCCAAUUUCUGGAGUUUCACUUGUUGUCCUUCUUUUUAUGGGUUCUCUGGUUUCCUCCCACCUCCAAAAAGCAUGCCGGAUGUAUUCCCGCCUAACACGCGGUGUUCCUGGGACUCGCUGUGAUUGGUCCUCGCUCAUAAACUCAAGACGUUGUGGUGCUGAAGU
Long non-coding RNA from Ictalurus punctatus (channel catfish), 280 nucleotides. RefSeq lists it as uncharacterized. The record is from RefSeq and is a predicted model, not a curated record. The transcript is spliced from 3 exons. Lineage: Eukaryota; Metazoa; Chordata; Actinopteri; Siluriformes; Ictaluridae.